This 269-nucleotide ribosomal RNA is filed under the name uncultured prokaryote. RNAcentral describes it as "partial 16S ribosomal RNA". It matches the Rfam family "Bacterial small subunit ribosomal RNA", at positions 524 to 792 of the family's 1533-position model. The record is from RNAcentral.
UACGAGGGGAGCAAGCGUUGUUCGGAUUUACUGGGCGUAAAGGGUGUCUAGGCGGGCUUUCAAGUCAGAUGUGAAAUCCCUCGGCUUAACUGAGGAAUUGCAUUUGAAACUGUUGGCCUUGAGUACAGCAGAGGAAAGCGGAAUUCCUGGUGUAGCGGUGAAAUGCGUAGAUAUCAGGAAGAACACCGGUGGCGAAGGCAGCUUUCUGGGCUAGUACUGACGCUGAAGCACGAAAGCGUGGGGAGCAAACAGGAUUAGAUACCCCCGUA